RNAcentral lists this ribosomal RNA (800 nucleotides) under uncultured bacterium. RNAcentral describes it as "bacterial SSU rRNA". It matches the Rfam family "Bacterial small subunit ribosomal RNA", at positions 8 to 824 of the family's 1533-position model. The record is from RNAcentral.
AGAGUUUGAUCCUGGCUCAGGACGAACGCUGGCGGCGUGCUUAACACAUGCAAGUCGAGCGAUGAAACUACUUCGGUAGUGAAUUAGCGGCGAACGGGUGAGGAACACGUGAGGAAUCUGCCUUCUACACUGGGAUAACUCCGGGAAACCGGGGCUAAUACCGGAUAUGAAACUUGGUGGCAUCACCGAGUUUGGAAAGUUUUUCGGUAGAAGAUGACCUCGCGGCCUAUCAGCUUGUUGGUGGGGUAAUGGCUCACCAAGGCGACGACGGGUAGCCGGCCUGAGAGGGCGACCGGCCACACUGGGACUGAGACACGGCCCAGACUCCUACGGGAGGCAGCAGUGGGGAAUAUUGGGCAAUGGAGGAAACUCUGACCCAGCGACGCCGCGUGCGGGAUGAAGGCCUUCGGGUUGUAAACCGCUUUCAGUAGGGAAGAAGCGAAAGUGACGGUACCUACAGAAGAAGCACCGGCUAACUAUGUGCCAGCAGCCGCGGUAAUACAUAGGGUGCAAGCGUUGUCCGGAAUUAUUGGGCGUAAAGAGCUCGUAGGUGGUUCGUUACGUCGGAUGUGAAAAUCUGGGGCUCAACCCCAGACCUGCAUCCGAUACGGUCGAGCUAGAGUUUGGUAGGGGAGACUGGAAUUCCUGGUGUAGCGGUGGAAUGCGCAGAUAUCAGGAGGAACACCAAUGGCGAAGGCAGGUCUCUGGGCCAAUACUGACACUGAGGAGCGAAAGCGUGGGGAGCGAACAGGAUUAGAUACCCUGGUAGUCCACGCCGUAAACGGUGGGCGCUAGUUGUG